This 423-nucleotide ribosomal RNA is filed under the name uncultured bacterium. Its description in RNAcentral is "bacterial SSU rRNA". It matches the Rfam family "Bacterial small subunit ribosomal RNA", at positions 355 to 775 of the family's 1533-position model. The record is from RNAcentral.
UGAGGAAUAUUGGUCAAUGGGCGCAAGCCUGAACCAGCCAUCCCGCGUGAAGGAAGAAGGCCCUAUGGGUUGUAAACUUCUUUUCCAGGGGGUGAAUAAUACCGAUGUAUCGGGAGAUGACGGUACCCUGGGAAUAAGCAUCGGCUAACUCCGUGCCAGCAGCCGCGGUAAUACGGAGGACGCGAGCGUUAUCCGGAUUUAUUGGGUUUAAAGGGUGCGUAGGCGGAACAAUAAGUCAGUGGUGAAAGACUGCAGCUUAACUGUAGACUUGCCGUUGAUACUGUUGGUCUUGAGUAUGGUCAAGGCAGGCGGAAUGUGUAAUGUAGCGGUGAAAUGCUUAGGUAUUACACAGAACACCGAUUGCGAAGGCAGCUUGCUGGGCCAUUACUGACGCUGAUGCACGAAAGCGUGGGGAUCGAACAG